Molecule: small nuclear RNA, 107 nt
Filed under: Neotoma lepida (desert woodrat)
Lineage: Eukaryota; Metazoa; Chordata; Mammalia; Rodentia; Cricetidae
Source: RNAcentral
GUGCUUUCUUCAGCAGCACAUAUACUAAAAUUGGAAUGAUACAGAGAAGAUUAUCAUGGCCCCUGUGCAAGGAUGACAUGCAAAUUUGUGAAACAUUCAAUAUUUUU